This 253-nucleotide ribosomal RNA is filed under the name uncultured bacterium. RNAcentral's name for it is "partial 16S ribosomal RNA". It matches the Rfam family "Bacterial small subunit ribosomal RNA", at positions 524 to 776 of the family's 1533-position model. The record is from RNAcentral.
UACAGAGGUGGCAAGCGUUGUUCGGAAUUACUGGGCGUAAAGGGCGAGUAGGUGGCCAUCUAAGUCAGACGUGAAAUCCCCCGGCUUAACCUGGGAACUGCGUCUGAUACUGGACGGCUUGAGUAUGGGAGAGGAACGUAGAAUUCCAGGUGUAGCGGUGAAAUGCGUAGAUAUCUGGAGGAAUACCGGUGGCGAAGGCGGCGUUCUGGACCAUUACUGAUACUGAAUCGCGAAAGCUAGGGGAGCAAACGGG